AGUGAACGCUGGCGGUAGGCCUAACACAUGCAAGUCGAACGGCAGCACAGUAAGAGCUUGCUCUUACGGGUGGCGAGUGGCGGACGGGUGAGGAAUACAUCGGAAUCUACUUUUUCGUGGGGGAUAACGUAGGGAAACUUACGCUAAUACCUCAUACGACCUACGGGUGAAAGCAGGGGAUCUUCGGACCUUUCGCGAUUGAAUGAGCCGAUGUCGGAUUAGCUAGUUGGCGGGGUAAAGGCACACCAAGGCGACGAUCCGUAGCUGGUCUGAGAGGAUGAUCAGCCACACUGGAACUGAGACACGGUCCAGACUCCUACGGGAGGCAGCAGUGGGGAAUAUUGGACAAUGGGCGAAAGCCUGAUCCAGCCAUACCGCGUGGGUGAAGAAGGUCUUCGGGUUGUAAAGCCCUGUUGUUGGGAAAGAAAAGCAGCAGGUGAAUACCCCGCUGUUCUGACGGUACCUAAAGAAUAAGCACCGGCUAACUUCGUG
Molecule: ribosomal RNA, 492 nt
Filed under: uncultured bacterium
Lineage: Bacteria
Description: partial 16S ribosomal RNA
Rfam family: Bacterial small subunit ribosomal RNA
Source: RNAcentral